ACCCUCCAGUUUCCUUUCUCAUCAGAUCUGAACACUGGUCUUGGUGGCUGUCAAAAGAGAAAAAGUAAUACUGAAGCUGACCUUACAGUGUUGUAGCUUGAUACAGAACACAUAGGCUGGCUUCAAACAGUA
This is a small nucleolar RNA of Cynocephalus volans (Philippine flying lemur), 132 nucleotides long. RefSeq annotates it as small nucleolar RNA SNORA61. Lineage: Eukaryota; Metazoa; Chordata; Mammalia; Dermoptera; Cynocephalidae. The transcript has a single exon. The record is from RefSeq and is a predicted model, not a curated record.